UUUCUAUUUUUUUCUUUAAAAUGUCAGCAGCCUCUGCUACAACAAACUCUCCAUUAACUGUGUCUUCAACAUCAGCUCCUUCAUCAUCUCCUGCCAAUACAACCUCCUCUACAACUGAAUCUCAAAAUACAACAUCUUCUGCCAAUACAAUCUCUUCUACAAAUGAGGCUCACACAACUGCUGCACCUACAAGUAAGUAAUGUAUAAAUAAAGUUGACUAUAUUUGGAGAGUUUUAGCAUGUUACAGUUAU
Molecule: long non-coding RNA, 251 nt
Filed under: Danio rerio (zebrafish)
Lineage: Eukaryota; Metazoa; Chordata; Actinopteri; Cypriniformes; Danionidae
Description: lncRNA (ENSDARG00000117406.1)
Source: RNAcentral